This 783-nucleotide ribosomal RNA is filed under the name Nesterenkonia sandarakina. Its description in RNAcentral is "bacterial SSU rRNA". It matches the Rfam family "Bacterial small subunit ribosomal RNA", at positions 348 to 1138 of the family's 1533-position model. Lineage: Bacteria; Bacillati; Actinomycetota; Actinomycetes; Micrococcales; Micrococcaceae. The record is from RNAcentral.
GCAGCAGUGGNGAAUAUUGCACAAUGGGCGAAAGCCUGAUGCAGCGACGCCGCGUGCGGGAUGACGGCCUUCGGGUUGUAAACCGCUUUCAGCAGGGAAGAAGCGAAAGUGACGGUACCUGCAGAAGAAGCGCCGGCUAACUACGUGCCAGCAGCCGCGGUAAUACGUAGGGCGCGAGCGUUAUCCGGAAUUAUUGGGCGUAAAGAGCUCGUAGGCGGUUUGUCACGUCUGCUGUGAAAGCCCGAGGCUCAACCUCGGGUGUGCAGUGGGUACGGGCAGACUAGAGUGCAGUAGGGGAGACUGGAAUUCCUGGUGUAGCGGUGAAAUGCGCAGAUAUCAGGAGGAACACCGAUGGCGAAGGCAGGUCUCUGGGCUGUUACUGACGCUGAGGAGCGAAAGCAUGGGGAGCGAACAGGAUUAGAUACCCUGGUAGUCCAUGCCGUAAACGUUGGGCACUAGGUGUGGGGGACAUUCCACGUUUUCCGCGCCGUAGCURACGCAUUAAGUGCCCCGCCUGGNGGAGUACGGCCGCAAGGCUAAAACUCAAAGGAAUUGACGGGGGCCCGCACAAGCGGCGGAGCAUGCGGAUUAAUUCGAUGCAACGCGAAGAACCUUACCAAGGCUUGACAUGGACCGGAUCGCUGCAGAGAUGCAGUUUCCCUNUCGGGGUCGGUUCACAGGUGGUGCAUGGUUGUCGUCAGCUCGUGUCGUGAGAUGUUNGGGUUAAGUCCCGCAACGAGCGCAACCCCUAUCCUAUGUUGCCAGCACGUAAUGGNUGGGGAC